This 437-nucleotide ribosomal RNA is filed under the name Orthotrichum stellatum. Its description in RNAcentral is "eukaryotic LSU rRNA". The stretch from base 1 to 130 matches the Rfam family "5.8S ribosomal RNA", at positions 24 to 154 of the family's 154-position model. Lineage: Eukaryota; Viridiplantae; Streptophyta; Bryopsida; Orthotrichales; Orthotrichaceae. The record is from RNAcentral.
GCUCUUGCAACGAUGAAGAACGCAGCGAAAUGCGAUACGUAGUGUGAAUUGCAGAAUUCCGCGAAUCAUCGAGUCUUUGAACGCAAGUUGCGCCCGAGGCUUGUCCGAGGGCAUUUCCGCUAGAGCGUCACCGCGCCCCCACCACCGAUCCCGACCGUGACUCGGGGUCGAGUGAAGCUGGCCGUCCCGGCCGGGCGUCGCGCCGCGACGUCGAUCGGGUCGGCUGAAAUGGAGAGAGGGAAUCUGGCCGCCGCGGCGACGCGGUCCGCGAUCGGGUGGUCCGAGCGCUCGCGCUCGGAGUUAUUUCAAAGCGCGGCCGCGCCGCCCAGACGGCCCAGCCUCGAGCCAGCAGGCGUCGUCCCGGCCCCUCGCGGGUCGGGACGACGAGCGUCACGCAUCAGACCUCUAAUCGGAAAAGACCACGCGCUGAAUUUAAG